Long non-coding RNA from Ornithodoros turicata, 656 nucleotides. RefSeq lists it as uncharacterized. NCBI's taxonomy places the organism in Eukaryota, Metazoa, Arthropoda, Arachnida, Ixodida, Argasidae. The transcript has 2 exons. The record is from RefSeq and is a predicted model, not a curated record.
CCAGCGCAUAAAGGACAGCCGUCCUGACGACUGGUAUGAGCAACAUCAGCCGCGAGCAGCGGAGGGGUUCUUUCGGCAGACUACGGCAAUCUACCGCAGGGAACGGCGAUAGGAACCCUGGCUCCCUCGACAGUGCCGUGGACGAACCUGCGCCGGUGGCACAGGACCUGCUACAGCAGACUACUUCACUCCGUACGCUGUAGCAACAGCUCGGCAGCUCCUCCGCCGUCCCCUGACACACUGCUGCGCAUGAACUUGACCGUACCGACGCUUUCCAGCCACAGCGACCCAGGUCAGAAGACUUCAUCGUCGACUUGGACGCUUGCCAUAGGGCCGCCCGAGUCACCGAUGACUUCCUCCGGCGUAGAGUAUACUAGCAGCAGAUCCUGGCUGACUGUCCUUCUCCCUGACAUCUUGCACUUGCCGAACGUUUGGAAAGGUGGGAGUGCGCCGAUAGCAAGGUGUUAUCGCUGAUAACACCUCCCACGUGCAGUCUCCCUUAUACUGCGCGGGAACCCGAAGCCAUAGCGCUAUACAAGCGCGGAAAAUAAAUUAAUCUUCAAUUCAUCUUCACGACUGCUGCUGGCGGCGGACAGAUUACGACGCAGUGGUCUUUUGGGAACGGUGAUGUAUGCAAAUAAACAUGUUUAACCUGA